Molecule: long non-coding RNA, 628 nt
Filed under: Mytilus galloprovincialis (Mediterranean mussel)
Lineage: Eukaryota; Metazoa; Mollusca; Bivalvia; Mytilida; Mytilidae
Source: RNAcentral
AUUUUUAGCUCACCUGGCCCGAAGGGCCAAGUGAGCUUUUCCCAUCACUUGGCGUCCGUCGUCCGUCGUCCGUCGUCCGUCGUCCUCGUCGUCGUCCGUCGUCGUUAACUUUUACAAAAAUCUUCUCCUCUGAAACUACUGGGCCAAAUCAAACCAAACUUGGCCACAAUCAUCAUUGAGGUAUCUAGUUUAAAAAAUGUGUGGCGUGACCCGGCCAACCAACCAAGAUGGCCGCCAUGGCUAAAAAUAGAACAUAGGGGUAAAAUGCAGUUUUUGGCUUAUAACUCAAAAACCAAAGCAUUUAGAGCAAAUCUGACAUGGGUAAAAUUGUUUAUCAGGUCAAGAUCUUUCUGCCCUCAAAUUUUCAGAUGAAUCCGACAACCCGUUGUUGGGUUGCUGCCCCUGAAUUGGUAAUUUUAGGGAUUUUUUGCAGUUUUUGGUUAUUAUCUUGAAUAUUAUUAUAGAUAAAGAUAAACUGUAAACAGCAAUAAUGUUCAACAAAGUUAGAUUUACAAAUAAGCCAACAUGACUAAAAUGGUCAGUUGACCCCUUUAGGAGUUAUUGACCUUUAUAGUCAAUUUUUAACCGCUUUUCGUAAAUCUUAGUAAUCUUUUACAAAAAUCUUCUC